UGGGGAAUUUUGGACAAUGGGCGAAAGCCUGAUCCAGCAAUGCCGCGUGUGUGAAGAAGGCCUUCGGGUUGUAAAGCACUUUUGUCCGGAAAGAAAUCCUUGGCUCUAAUACAGUCGGGGAUGACGGUACCGGAAGAAUAAGCACCGGCUAACUACGUGCCAGCAGCCGCGGUAAUACGUAGGGUGCAAGCGUUAAUCGGAAUUACUGGGCGUAAAGCGUGCGCAGGCGGUUUGCUAAGACCGAUGUGAAAUCCCCGGGCUCAACCUGGGAACUGCAUUGGUGACUGGCAGGCUAGAGUAUGGCAGAGGGGGGUAGAAUUCCACGUGUAGCAGUGAAAUGCGUAGAGAUGUGGAGGAAUACCGAUGGCGAAGGCAGCCCCCUGGGCAAUACUGACGCUCAUGCACGAAAGCGUGGGGAGCAAACAGGAUUAGAUACCCUGGUAGUCCACGCCCUAAACGAUGUCAACUAGUUGUUGGGGAUUCAUUUCCUUAGUAACGUAGCUAACGCGUGAAGUUGACCGCCUGGGGAGUACGGUCGCAAGAUU
This 545-nucleotide ribosomal RNA is filed under the name uncultured bacterium. RNAcentral describes it as "partial 16S ribosomal RNA". It matches the Rfam family "Bacterial small subunit ribosomal RNA", at positions 355 to 895 of the family's 1533-position model. The record is from RNAcentral.